RNAcentral lists this ribosomal RNA (878 nucleotides) under uncultured bacterium. RNAcentral's name for it is "bacterial SSU rRNA". It matches the Rfam family "Bacterial small subunit ribosomal RNA", at positions 8 to 916 of the family's 1533-position model. The record is from RNAcentral.
AGAGUUUGAUCAUGGCUCAGGAUGAACGCUGGCGGCGUGCCUAACACAUGCAAGUCGAGCGAUCUCUUCGGAAGAGAGCGGCGGACGGGUGAGUAACGCGUGGGUAACCUGCCUCAUACACAUGGAUAACAUACCGAAAGGUAUGCUAAUACAAGAUGAUAUAAGAGAUUCGCAUGGAUUUCUUAUCAAAGCUUUUGCGGUAUGAGAUGGACCCGCGUCUGAUUAGCUAGUUGGUAAGGUAACGGCUUACCAAGGCGACGAUCAGUAGCCGACCUGAGAGGGUGAUCGGCCACAUUGGAACUGAGACACGGUCCAAACUCCUACGGGAGGUAGCAGUGGGGAAUAUUGCACAAUGGGCGAAAGCCUGAUGCAGCAACGCCGCGUGAGCGAUGAAGGCCUUCGGGUCGUAAAGCUCUGUCCUCAAGGAAGAUAAUGACGGUACUUGAGGAGGAAGCCCCGGCUAACUACGUGCCAUCAGCCGCGGUAAUACGUAGGGGGCUAGCGUUAUCCGGAUUUACUGGGCGUAAAGGGUGCGUAGGUGGUUUCUUAAGUCAGGAGUGAAAGGCUACGGCUUAACCGUAGUAAGCUCUUGAAACUGGGAAACUUGAGUGCAGGAGAGGAAAGUGGAAUUCCUAGUGUAGCGGUGAAAUGCGUAGAUAUUAGGAGGAACACCAGUAGCGAAGGCGGCUUUCUGGACUGUAACUGACACUGAGGCACGAAAGCGUGGGGAGCAAACAGGAUUAGAUACCCUGGUAGUCCACGCCGUAAACGAUGAGUACUAGGUGUCGGGGGUUACCCCCCUCGGUACCGCAGCUAACGCAUUAAGUACUCCGCCUGGGGAGUACGCUCGCAAGAGUGAAACUCAAAGGAAUUGACGG